AGAGUUUGAUCAUGGCUCAAGAACGAACGCUGGCGGCAUGCCUAACACAUGCAAGUCGAACGAGACCUUCGGGUCUAGUGGCGCACGGGUGCGUAACGCGUGGGAAUCUGCCUUGGGUUCGGAAUAACAGUUAGAAAUGACUGCUAAUACCGGAUAAUGUCUUCGGACCAAAGAUUUAUCGCCCAGGGAUGAGCCCGCGUAGGAUUAGCUAGUUGGUGAGGUAAAGGCUCACCAAGGCGACGAUCCUUAGCUGGUCUGAGAGGAUGAUCAGCCACACUGGGACUGAGACACGGCCCAGACUCCUACGGGAGGCAGCAGUGGGGAAUAUUGGACAAUGGGCGAAAGCCUGAUCCAGCAAUGCCGCGUGAGUGAUGAAGGCCUUAGGGUUGUAAAGCUCUUUUACCCGGGAUGAUAAUGACAGUACCGGGAGAAUAAGCUCCGGCUAACUCCGUG
This 453-nucleotide ribosomal RNA is filed under the name uncultured bacterium. RNAcentral's name for it is "bacterial SSU rRNA". It matches the Rfam family "Bacterial small subunit ribosomal RNA", at positions 8 to 507 of the family's 1533-position model. The record is from RNAcentral.